RNAcentral lists this ribosomal RNA (39 nucleotides) under Physcia aipolia. RNAcentral's name for it is "partial 28S ribosomal RNA". Lineage: Eukaryota; Fungi; Ascomycota; Lecanoromycetes; Caliciales; Physciaceae. The record is from RNAcentral.
UUGACCUCGAUCUAGGUUAGGGAUACCCGCUGAACUUAA